GGAGAGAUGUCCGAGUGGUUUAUGGAGCUGGUCUUGAAAACCAGUGACUCCGCAAGGGGCCGGGUGUUCGAAUCCCUCUCUCUCCGCCA
Molecule: transfer RNA, 89 nt
Filed under: Clostridiales bacterium
Lineage: Bacteria; Bacillati; Bacillota; Clostridia; Eubacteriales
Description: tRNA-Ser
Rfam family: tRNA
About the family: Transfer RNA (tRNA) molecules are approximately 80 nucleotides in length.
Source: RNAcentral